Molecule: ribosomal RNA, 253 nt
Filed under: uncultured bacterium
Lineage: Bacteria
Description: partial 16S ribosomal RNA
Rfam family: Bacterial small subunit ribosomal RNA
Source: RNAcentral
GACGAACCGUGCGAACGUUGUUCGGAAUCACUGGGCUUAAAGGGCGCGUAGGCGGGUGACCAAGUCCGGGGUGAAAUCCUCCAGCUCAACUGGAGAAGUGCCUCGGAUACUGGUUGUCUUGAGGAGGGUAGGGGCAUCUGGAACUAGCGGUGGAGCGGUGAAAUGCGUUGAUAUCGCUAGGAACUCCGGUGGCGAAGGCGAGGUGCUGGACCCUUUCUGACGCUGAGGCGCGAAAGCCAGGGGAGCGAACGGG